AGCCUGAACGCUGGCGGCGUGGCUAAGACAUGCAAGUCGAACGGUGUAGCAAUACACAGUGGCGAACGGGUGAGUAAUGUAUCGCUAACGUACCCUUCAGUCAGGGAUAGCCGGGGGAAACUCCGGGUAAUACCUGGUGAAAUUCUUUUCUCGCAUGGGAGAAGACUCAAAGGAGCAAUCCGCUGAGGGAGCGGGCGAUAUCGUAUCAGCUAGUUGGCGAGGUAACGGCUCACCAAGGCGACGACGCGUAGCCGGGCUGAGAGGUCGGCCGGCCACAUUGGGACUGAGACACUGCCCAGACUCCUACGGGGGGCUGCAGUAACGAAUCUUCCGCAAUGCACGCAAGUGUGACGGAGCGACGCCGCGUGUGGGACGAAGUCCUUCGGGAUGUAAACCACUGUCAGGGGUAAGAAAGUUCUGAUCUACCCCAGAGGAAGGCACGGCUAACUCUGCGCCAGCAGCCGCGGUAA
This 470-nucleotide ribosomal RNA is filed under the name uncultured bacterium. Its description in RNAcentral is "SSU rRNA". It matches the Rfam family "Bacterial small subunit ribosomal RNA", at positions 26 to 523 of the family's 1533-position model. The record is from RNAcentral.